RNAcentral lists this ribosomal RNA (245 nucleotides) under uncultured bacterium. RNAcentral describes it as "partial 16S ribosomal RNA". It matches the Rfam family "Bacterial small subunit ribosomal RNA", at positions 563 to 807 of the family's 1533-position model. The record is from RNAcentral.
AAGGGUGCGUAGGCUGUUUUGAAAGUCAGGUGUGAAAUUUCUCGGCUCAACCGAGGCACUGCAUUUGAAACUUCAGAACUGGAAUUCGGGAGAGGGUAGCGGAAUUCCUGGAGUAGGAGUGAAAUCCGUAGAUAUCAGGAGGAACACCGGUGGCGAAGGCGGCUACCUGGCCCGAUAUUGACGCUGAAGCACGAAAGCGUGGGUAGCAAACAGGAUUAGAUACCCUGGUAGUCCACGCUGUAAAC